AUGUUCCGCUUCUCGGCCACGCUCUGUGUUGCCACCAUCGGAAACUGCAACCUUCCGGACAGCACCGUCCAAGGGCUUCACUUCCCCCUGCUUAAGCAGCUCGGACUUGAACUCGUCAGCAUCUCGGAGUGCUCACUGCACAGCUUGAUUGCCAGUUGCCCUGCUGUGGAGUGCUUGCUGAUUAGCCAUGGAUUCGGCUUUUGCUGCCUCAGGAUCAACUCCCUUACCCUUAGAAGCUUUGCUGUCAAGAACUAUCGGAAAGGCAAUGACCAGUUAAAGGAACUAGUUGUCGAGAAUGCGCCUUGCCUUCAAAGCUUGCUCCAUCUUGAUUUUGACUAUGGUUUGCAUAUAUCAGUGGUCUCCGCGCCUAAACUGGAGACCCUAGGCUGCCUUUCUGAUGGGUUUUACAUCUCCAAACCAGAUGAUCUCUCUAGAUUCGUGUUUGGCUCCACAGUUAUUCAGGGCUUGCGUGUCGAUAGACUGACAACGGUGGUGCACGCAGUGAAGAAUUUAGCUGUCAAUAUGAAGAUUCUUAGUUUGGAUACAAUUAUCGAGUUGAUGCGAUGCUUUCCAUGCUUGGAGAAGAUAUAUAUUGAGUCAGAGUCAAAGAAGGAAAAAAAUGUGCGCGGUCGCAAACACCGGAAUCUUACCAAAUGUCCUAACAUCCGUCUAAAGACAAUAGUAUUUGAAUGUUAUGAGGGUAUUAAGUCUGACAUCGAAUUUGCUUCAUUCUUUGUACUGAACGCUACAGUGCUGGAGUUAAUGAAACUUCAGAUCAGAGCCAGGGAUUAUAAUGAACAAUUCUUGGCAGAACAACGUAGGAAGCUUCAGCUAGUAAACAAGGCUUCACGAGGUGCUCGGUUUCAUUUUACAACUGAUAAAUGUGCCCGUGGUGUUUGGGAUGUGCAUCAUGUCCGUGACUUGGAUUUAACUGAUCCAUUUGUAUGUUGA
This 951-nucleotide ribosomal RNA is filed under the name Triticum aestivum (bread wheat). RNAcentral's name for it is "partial small subunit ribosomal RNA". Lineage: Eukaryota; Viridiplantae; Streptophyta; Magnoliopsida; Poales; Poaceae. The record is from RNAcentral.